This 468-nucleotide ribosomal RNA is filed under the name uncultured bacterium. Its description in RNAcentral is "partial 16S ribosomal RNA". It matches the Rfam family "Bacterial small subunit ribosomal RNA", at positions 28 to 523 of the family's 1533-position model. The record is from RNAcentral.
GAUGAACGCUGGCGGCGUGCCUAACACAUGCAAGUCGAGCGAUUCUCUUCGGUGAAGAGCGGCGGACGGGUGAGUAACGCGUGGGUAACCUGCCCUGUACACACGGAUAACAUACCGAAAGGUAUGCUAAUACGAGAUGAUAUGCUUUUAUCGCAUGGUAGAAGUAUCAAAGCUCCGGCGGUACAGGAUGGACCCGCGUCUGAUUAGCUAGUUGGUAAGGUAACGGCUUACCAAGGCGACGAUCAGUAGCCGACCUGAGAGGGUGAUCGGCCACAUUGGAACUGAGACACGGUCCAAACUCCUGCGGGAGGCAGCAGUGGGGAAUAUUGCACAAUGGGCGAAAGCCUGAUGCAGCAACGCCGCGUGAGCGAUGAAGGCCUUCGGGUCGUAAAGCUCUGUCCUCAAGGAAGAUAAUGACGGUACUUGAGGAGGAAGCCCCGGCUAACUACGUGCCAGCCGCCGCCGUAA